GAUGAACGCUGGCGGCGUGCUUAACACAUGCAAGUCGAGCGAAGCACUAAAGCGGAUUUCUUCGGAUUGAAGGUUUAGUGACUGAGCGGCGGACGGGUGAGUAACGCGUGGGUAACCUGCCUCAUACAGGGGGAUAACAGUUGGAAACGGCUGCUAAUACCGCAUAAGCGCACAGUACCGCAUGGUACGGUGUGAAAAACUCCGGUGGUAUGAGAUGGACCCGCGUCUGAUUAGGUAGUUGGUGGGGUAACGGCCUACCAAGCCGACGAUCAGUAGCCGACCUGAGAGGGUGACCGGCCACAUUGGGACUGAGACACGGCCCAAACUCCUACGGGAGGCAGCAGUGGGGAAUAUUGCACAAUGGGGGAAACCCUGAUGCAGCGACGCCGCGUGAGCGAAGAAGUAUUUCGGUAUGUAAAGCUCUAUCAGCAGGGAAGAAAAUGACGGUACCKACUAAGAGCCCGACUUCC
This 470-nucleotide ribosomal RNA is filed under the name uncultured bacterium. RNAcentral describes it as "bacterial SSU rRNA". It matches the Rfam family "Bacterial small subunit ribosomal RNA", at positions 28 to 501 of the family's 1533-position model. The record is from RNAcentral.